Molecule: ribosomal RNA, 398 nt
Filed under: uncultured bacterium
Lineage: Bacteria
Description: partial 16S ribosomal RNA
Rfam family: Bacterial small subunit ribosomal RNA
Source: RNAcentral
AUACGUAGGGUGCGAGCGUUGUCCGGAAUUACUGGGCGUAAAGAGCUCGUAGGUGGUUUGUCGCGUCGUCUGUGAAAUUCCGGGGCUUAACUCCGGGCGUGCAGGCGCUACGGGCAUAACUUGAGUACUGUAGGGGAGACUGGAAUUCCUGGUGUAGCGGUGAAAUGCGCAGAUAUCAGGAGGAACACCGGUGGCGAAGGCGGGUCUCUGGGCAGUAACUGACGCUGAGGAGCGAAAGCAUGGGUAGCGAACAGGAUUAGAUACCCUGGUAGUCCAUGCCGUAAACGGUGGGCGCUAGGUGUAGGGGUCUUCCACGACUUCUGUGCCGUAGCUAACGCAUUAAGCGCCCCGCCUGGGGAGUACGGCCGCAAGGCUAAAACUCAAAUGAAUUGACGGGG